GCGUCAGUAGUGUAACGGACAGAGCACGUGCUCCCGGAAUGAGUGAGGUGCGGGUUCUAGUCCCGCUCCCGUCUGACGCG
Parelaphostrongylus tenuis is the source of this 80-nucleotide non-coding RNA. NCBI's taxonomy places the organism in Eukaryota, Metazoa, Nematoda, Chromadorea, Rhabditida, Metastrongylidae. The record is from the annotation of a GenBank genome assembly.